Molecule: ribosomal RNA, 253 nt
Filed under: uncultured bacterium
Lineage: Bacteria
Description: partial 16S ribosomal RNA
Rfam family: Bacterial small subunit ribosomal RNA
Source: RNAcentral
UACGGAGGGGGCUAGCGUUGUUCGGAAUUACUGGGCGUAAAGCGCACGUAGGCGGCUUUGUAAGUUAGAGGUGAAAGCCCGGGGCUCAACCCCGGAAUUGCCUUUAAGACUGCAUCGCUUGAACGUCGGAGAGGUGAGUGGAAUUCCGAGUGUAGAGGUGAAAUUCGUAGAUAUUCGGAAGAACACCAGUGGCGAAGGCGGCCCACUGGACGACUGUUGACGCUGAGGUGCGAAAGCGUGGGGAGCAAACAGG